GGUCCCGAGGUGUUCCACGUGAAGUUGCAAACUUCAAGAAGCAAAUAAUUAUUGCCGGGGCU
This 62-nucleotide transfer RNA is filed under the name Eleutherodactylus pipilans (whistling chirping frog). Its description in RNAcentral is "tRNA-Cys". The record is from RNAcentral. Lineage: Eukaryota; Metazoa; Chordata; Amphibia; Anura; Eleutherodactylidae.